This 98-nucleotide non-coding RNA is filed under the name pig gut metagenome. RNAcentral's name for it is "THF riboswitch". It matches the Rfam family "THF (Tetrahydrofolate) riboswitch aptamer". From Rfam's summary of the family: THF riboswitch presents a pseudoknot that joins P1-P2 and the loop of P3 and two THF binding. The record is from RNAcentral.
CAGAGUAGGCGAAUAUGGGUCAAGUGCCGAAGGGACGGGGAGUUGCCCUUUGGACGAAAAGCCGCUUUGGCUUGCCGUAGAUUCGCCGCAUCCCGCUG